GAGGAUAAGGCUAAAGACAGAGGCUCCAGCUACCUUGGUGACAAGGAAUGGAGGAGAAAAGGAACAGGAAAUUUUAAUAAGAUUAGGAGGGCUUGCUUUUCUGCCAAGUGAGGCGCUUUCACAGGAGCGAUAAAUUGGAAAUGUUAUCUGGCUUGAUAUGCCAGUUUUUCUGAGAAAAUCACUCUGCCAGUGGUGACAGAAUGGAAGAGCUGAAAACAUCUUCUUUUUUCAAAGUCAUAUGUCACGAACCAAGGAGACUCCAAAAAAUAAAUUAUGGAAGAUUAUGACCACUGCUGCCAAGGAUACAGUGAAAUAGGUACAUCUUGUAUGCCCAGUAAUGUUGAAAAUUAAUAUAACCUUAUUUAAAAAGCAAUUUGGAGAUGUUGAAAGAAAGCCUGAAGAUUACCACCAUGCUUCAUGAUUCUAUCCAGGUGUCCCACAUAUGAGAGCCAAUUCCAAAGAAAUAACUACAACUUGGAAAAAACUAUAUGCAUAAAGAUGUUCAUUAUGGUGUUAGCUAUAGCAGCAAAACAAAAAAAAAAAACACAGAAAAUGUUUGCAAGAAUUCCCAAAUAGAAAAUUAUUAAGUCAGCUAUGACAUUUUCCCAGUAGGAUAUUCUGCAGCACUUAAUAUGAAAGUCACUAAGUUUACAUGGAAAAAUACCUGAAGCAUAAUCUUAAGUUAAAAUAAAUCUAAAUAUACUUAUAUGCUAUAGUUGCACUUUUUAAAAAAUAUGACAGACAGCAUGAAAUAUCCAGAAUAGGCAAAUUCAUAGAGACCAAAAGACAGGCAUAGUGGUUGCCACAGGCUGGAGGAAGAAAAGAAUGUGGAGUGACUGCUAAUGCAUAAAAUGGGUUUCCUUUUGGGGUGAUAAAAAUGUUCCAGAACAAGAUAUCCAUUAAAGAAUUGAGAUUGCAGGACACACUACCACCCUGAAAACUGGAGAGAGGAAAAAUACAGAGAGGAAGCAGAUCAGCUUACCUGAAGCAGAGGCCGCUGGAAUCUGUGACAGGCUGCAUUUGUAACCAAGCCGUGGUCCUUUUCAUUGCAUCUUGCCAGAAUGAAGAAGAGCUGAUCUCUCCAGUUCCUGUUAUUCCCCUUACAUUGCCCACAUUUAUUGCUCAAUAAACCACAGAAAUCCUUCUGUAACUCCGAGGAAGUUCCUGAGAUAACUUUGUGAGUGGUCCACUAUUUCUGCAUUUCACA
Molecule: long non-coding RNA, 1207 nt
Filed under: Homo sapiens (human)
Lineage: Eukaryota; Metazoa; Chordata; Mammalia; Primates; Hominidae
Description: long non-coding RNA NONHSAT172801.1
Source: RNAcentral